RNAcentral lists this ribosomal RNA (395 nucleotides) under uncultured bacterium. RNAcentral's name for it is "bacterial SSU rRNA". It matches the Rfam family "Bacterial small subunit ribosomal RNA", at positions 59 to 450 of the family's 1533-position model. The record is from RNAcentral.
AAGUCGAACGGUAACAGGAAACAGCUUGCUGUUUCGCUGACGAGUGGCGGACGGGUGAGUAAUGUCUGGGAAACUGCCUGAUGGAGGGGGAUAACUACUGGAAACGGUAGCUAAUACCGCAUAACGUCGCAAGACCAAAGAGGGGGACCUUCGGGCCUCUUGCCAUCGGAUGUGCCCAGAUGGGAUUAGCUAGUAGGUGGGGUAACGGCUCACCUAGGCGACGAUCCCUAGCUGGUCUGAGAGGAUGACCAGCCACACUGGAACUGAGACACGGUCCAGACUCCUACGGGAGGCAGCAGUGGGGAAUAUUGCACAAUGGGCGCAAGCCUGAUGCAGCCAUGCCGCGUGUAUGAAGAAGGCCUUCGGGUUGUAAAGUACUUUCAGCGGGGAGGAAG